GACGGAGGGGGCUAGCGUUGUUCGGAAUUACUGGGCGUAAAGCGCGCGUAGGCGGCCUUUCAAGUCAGGUGUGAAAGCCCCGAGCUUAACUCGGGAACCGCACUUGAUACUGUUGGGCUUGAGACCGGGAGAGGAUAGCGGAAUUCCCAGUGUAGAGGUGAAAUUCGUAGAUAUUGGGAAGAACACCAGUGGCGAAGGCGGCUAUCUGGACCGGUACUGACGCGGAGGUGCGAAAGCGUGGGGAGCAAACAGG
Molecule: ribosomal RNA, 253 nt
Filed under: uncultured bacterium
Lineage: Bacteria
Description: partial 16S ribosomal RNA
Rfam family: Bacterial small subunit ribosomal RNA
Source: RNAcentral